This 366-nucleotide unclassified non-coding RNA is filed under the name Hevea brasiliensis (rubber tree). The record is from RNAcentral. Lineage: Eukaryota; Viridiplantae; Streptophyta; Magnoliopsida; Malpighiales; Euphorbiaceae.
AGCUAUGUCUGGAAACUGCUUCAAAGCUUCAGCACUGAAUUGGGAGCUGUUUGUCCUUAUGUCCUGUUCUGUUGUUACAACUCCACUUGCGAUUACAGAAGCCUCAGGUUCUGGUAAGUCCAAAGAUUUCACUUCAGGAAGUUGACUAUUUAUUUUGCUUUCGCUCAAGGUGUCAACGUCUGGGAUCAUACCAGCCAAAGCAUACAAGGUUUCAGCCACUUCCUCUUCAUCUUUGGUGAUUGGACAAUCAAGCUCCUCCUUUAUACACCGACUUGAACCACAAUGAGUCAAAUUAAGCUUAGACUUGUUGCCAUAUUUCCUUAGUGUUUCAGCUCCAUCUGACAUGCGAUUCGCCUUUUUGGAAAU